This 253-nucleotide ribosomal RNA is filed under the name uncultured bacterium. RNAcentral describes it as "partial 16S ribosomal RNA". It matches the Rfam family "Bacterial small subunit ribosomal RNA", at positions 524 to 776 of the family's 1533-position model. The record is from RNAcentral.
UACGUAGGGUGCGAGCGUUAAUCGGAAUUACUGGGCGUAAAGCGUGCGCAGGCGGUUUUGCAAGCCGGAUGUGAAAUCCCCGGGCUUAACCUGGGAAUGGCAUUUGGGACUGCAAGGCUGGAGUGCGGCAGAGGAGACUGGAAUUCCUGGUGUAGCAGUGAAAUGCGUAGAUAUCAGGAGGAACACCGAUGGCGAAGGCGGUUCUCUGGGCCUGUACUGACGCUGAGGAACGAAAGCGUGGGGAGCGAACAGG